CAAAGGCAUCGCGAGCUAGAGUUGUAGACGGUUCGAGGUGAGUAAUGAUUGUAAAUGAUGUCCUGAGGGUUUAAAACCCCGAGUUGCACAUCAUAGUGCUAUAUUGAGGUGAGACACGCGCUGGAUGAUGAGAGUGAGGUCUUUUACUACUAAGGAUUGUGACUUGGUCCGUCCCGAUUGAUGAUUUUACUGCGUAUUUGACUGAAAUUUAUUUGUUAUCAUCAUGAUUUGGGCUGAUUGCCAUAUUUGGGCUUUGUGCCAACUAUUUGGACCCUUCGGGGAUUUUUAUCACUGUUUCCUCACUGCUUGACUUAUUAUUUGAACUCAGUCCUGUUGAUAUCUACUAUUUUACAAACNCAGCCACUUUUACUCAUAUUUGAAACUUAAAUGAUANNNNNNNNNNNNNNNNNNNNNNNNNAGUGAUGUGAGGCCGAGUGCCGAGUGAAGUGAGACCGAGUGCCGAGUGAUGAUGCCACGAGGUGGUUUGAUAUAGUGCUUGGGCCGUAAGGGGCCCCUCCGGAGUCUGCACACCCACAGUGAGCGCGGGUACCCAUUAUGAUCUGAGAGUGAGCCCGAGGGGCUGAUACUGUUCUUAGUGAUUGAUACUGUGCCCGAGGGGCGGAUUUCUACUUGUUAUUUACCUAUUAAAUUACCUGUUUUACUUGUUUUAAAAAGGGAUAUCAUUUGAUUUCUUCACUGAUUUACUACUUGAUAUGGAAUUGUUUUAUGCCUUUACGUGUUUUCAUACUUUCAGCGAUUAUUUAUAAUUAUUACUCACUGAAUCGGAGUACUCACAUUACUCCCUGCACCAUGUGUGCAGAUUCAGGCAUCGCAGAGUCCACUCCUGAGUGCUGAUCCUCCCAGUCCAGGCAGUGAUUCGGAGACUACGAGGUAGCUGUUGGCGUCCGCAGCCCCGUGCCUCUCUUAUCUUAUCAUUUUCAUGUUCUUAGAACUAUUGUAUCGGAUUUAGUGUUCAGUAGAUUUGUAUGCAGAUUUCUUAGUUGUUCAUGACUUGUGACACCCUGGUUUGGGCUGCGUCGGGAUGGUUUCUGCUAUUAUUAUCGUUAAAUUCCACAAUUUAUGGAUAUUAU
This 1091-nucleotide long non-coding RNA is filed under the name Nicotiana tabacum (common tobacco). RNAcentral describes it as "long non-coding RNA (NTAB_LNC004356)". Lineage: Eukaryota; Viridiplantae; Streptophyta; Magnoliopsida; Solanales; Solanaceae. The record is from RNAcentral.